Molecule: long non-coding RNA, 254 nt
Filed under: Elaeis guineensis (African oil palm)
Lineage: Eukaryota; Viridiplantae; Streptophyta; Magnoliopsida; Arecales; Arecaceae
Description: long non-coding RNA (EGUI_LNC075841)
Source: RNAcentral
GCCGCCAUUUUUGCUUUGGUUUAUGAUCGACAAGUCAUCGAUUUUUCUUUGAAAUCAAACCUCCUUGUUUCUUCCUCUUGCCAGACUAGCCGUUGUUGCUAAUUGUGGCCUCAUUUUGGUUGCCAAGGACCAAGCCAUCAUCACCUAAGCCAUCGUGGUCGCGGCCAUUGAGGGCUUCAGCUAUGAGAGUCGACUAGGGCCUAAGACCCUCUUUCCCUAUUUCCAUGAGAAAAAAAAAAGAAGACAACGAGAAG